RNAcentral lists this long non-coding RNA (208 nucleotides) under Elaeis guineensis (African oil palm). Its description in RNAcentral is "long non-coding RNA (EGUI_LNC015299)". The record is from RNAcentral. Lineage: Eukaryota; Viridiplantae; Streptophyta; Magnoliopsida; Arecales; Arecaceae.
CCACAUCAUAUCCUUAUCCCAGACAUCCAGAGGAAAAUCUGGUAGAUGAAGCCACACAUUUAUCUUUUGGAUCUUAUCCUUUGAUGGCUUAAAAUUUGGACUCCAAGUUUCUAGGGCCAGCAGCUGUCCAGCCAAUGUCCAAGAUUUCUUUUCUAAAAUUCUAGCCUGAACUUUUUCAGAUGGUAAGAAAAAAGUAAAAAAAACCCUC